RNAcentral lists this long non-coding RNA (772 nucleotides) under Ursus maritimus (polar bear). RNAcentral's name for it is "lncRNA (ENSUMAG00000001915.1)". The record is from RNAcentral. Lineage: Eukaryota; Metazoa; Chordata; Mammalia; Carnivora; Ursidae.
GAGGAUGGGCCGCGGCUGCCCGUGGGCGCCGGUGUCCUCUGGGGGUGAUGAAGGUUCUGCAGCCGGAUCCCGCUGAGGCUGCCUAAGGUUGUGCACGUGCUAAACACCGUCGCACUGUACGCCAAAAUGGUCUAAACGCGUGCUCGCUUCGGCUAAAAUGGAAACGAUCAAAUGGUAAAUUUUAUGUGUUUUACCACCUUACCGCCAUGUUACCGUUAUAAUGAAAAAUGACGAAGUGGGGGGCAGAAUGGGAGGGUGCAUUUUCUUUGUAACCUUUUAAAUUACAGAAAAGUUGCAAGACUGCUUCAUGGAACUCCCAAUGCACUUUACCCAAUAGCACCAACUGUUUACUUUUUUUUUUUUUUUUUAAGAUUUUAUUUCUUCUAUUGACAGAGGCCACAAGCUGGGGGAGCUGCAGGCAGAGGGAGAAGCAGGCUCCCCACCGAGGAGGGAACCUGAUGCGGGACUUCAUCCCAGGAUCCUGAGACCAUGACCUAAGCCAAAGGCAGAUGCUUAACCGACUGAGCCACCCAGCUGUUCUCCCCUCAGGCAGGCAGGCAGCCUCUGUCCAGAGGAGAGGAGCCUGGCGCACUCUGAAGGCUGUGGGAGCCCGAAGACUUCCGUCUGGCUCAUGGCCUCUGGGCUGUGUGCCCCUCCCACUACUGCUCUCUGCAAAAGGUUUGUUGCUGCCAGUCACCAGCAUGAAGUCCGAAUGCUAACCUCACCGGCCCUCCAAGAGAGGUUACAAACGGGAGACACCGGCGAAGCAGCC